This 430-nucleotide long non-coding RNA is filed under the name Vitis vinifera (wine grape). RNAcentral's name for it is "long non-coding RNA (VVIN_LNC002830)". Lineage: Eukaryota; Viridiplantae; Streptophyta; Magnoliopsida; Vitales; Vitaceae. The record is from RNAcentral.
UACCUAUAAGGCAAAGUGGAAAACGGGGCCUUCAAACCUACCCACAAAUAGUUAUAUGAUGAGCCCCAAUCCGAAACAAGUGGUCCAAUAUAUAAGGGGGGGACCUAAUGCAGGGGAGCAUAGUGCCAUAACUACUAUAUACUUGUACCAAAUGGUUAAAAAAAAAGAUAAUAAUGUGUAUGAAAGUAUGCAAUAUGCUUAUAUGCAUUCAAACGAAUCAAACCAUAAAACUCACUGCUGGAAGGUCUGGGAGGAUACAGAGCCCUGAAAGCAAUGAAAUCGAUCAGCGGUCCACAAGCCGGAUCCUCCUCUCUCCUGGGUUAUGUAUGACGAUCUCGAUCACAUCAAAGACAUGUGGUUUACAGAUAUGUGAACCAAAAACCCUAAACAGAGCGAUUGCAUAUGUGAACCAGAAUAGAGAAUGAGAGUU